CCCUAAGCCACCCGACAACUUCUCCUCUCCCCCAAACCGACGGCACCGAGCCGCCGAUGCAACUCUUCCCCUUCUCCACGAGUACAAAGCCUCAAGCCGAUCUCGAUUCCUCUCUUCUCUCCCAUCACCCUCUUUGUCUAGUCUAGUUCCUCGGCCACCACCCGACGCCACUGCAGUUGCGCGUCAUCGCCAUCGUAGUCGCACGUCAUCACCAGCUUCCCACUUCACUGGAAACUGAGCACCCGAGUUCCUUUUCGGUCGUGCCCUAGAUCUGUCUGACUCGCGUCAUCCCCACUGUGUGCUAACAGCCGGCAUCGUUGUUCAUCCACACGAGCAGUCGACGCCGAGGACCCCUCUCUUUCUUCUCCCUUCCCCCUCACUAUGGUCACAUCUCUGUUGUUACCCCAUUCCCUAAAUCUGAUCUCUAUCUACGAGUAAGGAAUUGUUCACAGCCAGCACCUUUCUGUGCUACUCAGAUCAGGAGCCCUUGGAGAGUCGCCUCCUGAUCACCUUGGUUCAUUACUGCCUUUCCUUUGCACGAGGUCGAGUUAGUGAUGUUGCAACCACUUGUUGAGUGAGAGUUGCUGAUCAGAGUCACUGCUGGAGCAACGAAUAGCCACUGGAGAAGGAGGAGGCAUGGAGGGUUGCAGAUUUCAUCAGUUGCAUUAAUGCUCGGCUGAUUUUAGGAUAGCAAGUGCUAAUUUGGAAUACUUGGCAGAGGCAGUAGCUUUGCCUAAUUUCUAUCGUAACUUCCAACUUCUCUGGAGUCAACAGAGAUUCAACUCCGAUGAAGAAGAGGAGGCAGUGGAAGACCUGCAACCGCUCAGCGACUGGUUUGUGAGAGGGCAGUCAGCUUCUACGAUCGGGAGGCGACAGUGGCGUCGGGUGUAGGGCAGCGCAGCAGGACCACACUGUCAGGGCGAUCAACGCACAAGCAUCAGAUCUAGGGUUCGGCUGGCCGAUCGUGGACCUCGGCAUCGUGGUCGGCGGCUCUUGGGCAGAGACGGAAGAGGAGAGAAAGAGGAAGGAGACGAGAAUCGGGGCAGAGGUGAUCGACGUCGAUGCCUGGCGACCGGUAAAUGGUGGUGCGACCUCAGGUGGCGGCGGCGAGUUUCUGGUGUCCGCAAGGAAAAGGGAGCAGGAGCUCGGCCGGUGGUGGCUCGAGUGUCGCCGGCGCCGCGAUGAAGAAGGGGGGAGGUCGGCGCGAGCUCGGGGAAGAGGAAGAGAAGAGGAAGGUGUGGCGGUGAAGGAGAAGAGGAGGAGUUUGGCGAUUUGGGAGAGGAUGGAACGUGCGAGGGAAGGUUAGGGCACGGGAGAGAAAAGAAAAAAAAACAUUUAAGGAAAUUAGACAUUUCCUCGUAAUCGGAUAAGUUAAACAGAUUUUACCCAGAUCAAGUAAUUCAUCCUCUUAAUCUA
This is a long non-coding RNA of Zingiber officinale, 1416 nucleotides long. RefSeq lists it as uncharacterized. The transcript has 2 exons. The record is from RefSeq and is a predicted model, not a curated record. NCBI's taxonomy places the organism in Eukaryota, Viridiplantae, Streptophyta, Magnoliopsida, Zingiberales, Zingiberaceae.